RNAcentral lists this ribosomal RNA (253 nucleotides) under uncultured bacterium. Its description in RNAcentral is "partial 16S ribosomal RNA". It matches the Rfam family "Bacterial small subunit ribosomal RNA", at positions 524 to 776 of the family's 1533-position model. The record is from RNAcentral.
UACGUAGGUGACCAGCGUUGUCCGGAUUUACUGGGCGUAAAGAGCGCGCAGGCGGUCGGUCAAGUCGAGUGUGAAAGCCCCCGGCUCAACUGGGGAGGGUCACUUGAUACUGAUCGACUCGAAGGCAGGAGAGGGAAGCGGAAUUCCCGGUGUAGUGGUGAAAUGCGUAGAUAUCGGGAGGAACACCAGUGGCGAAGGCGGCUUCCUGGCCUGUUCUUGACGCUGAGGCGCGAAAGCUAGGGGAGCAAACGGG